Molecule: ribosomal RNA, 265 nt
Filed under: uncultured prokaryote
Description: partial 16S ribosomal RNA
Rfam family: Bacterial small subunit ribosomal RNA
Source: RNAcentral
UACGUAGGUGGCAAGCGUUAUCCGGAAUUAUUGGGCGUAAAGAGCGCGCAGGUGGUUGAUUAAGUCUGAUGUGAAAGCCCACGGCUUAACCGUGGAGGGUCAUUGGAAACUGGUCGACUUGAGUGCAGAAGAGGGAAGUGGAAUUCCAUGUGUAGCGGUGAAAUGCGUAGAGAUAUGGAGGAACACCAGUGGCGAAGGCGGCUUCCUGGUCUGUAACCGAUACUGAGGCGCGAAAGCGUGGGGAGCAAACAGGAUUAGAUACCCU